Molecule: unclassified non-coding RNA, 355 nt
Filed under: Methylorubrum extorquens
Lineage: Bacteria; Pseudomonadati; Pseudomonadota; Alphaproteobacteria; Hyphomicrobiales; Methylobacteriaceae
Description: cspA
Source: RNAcentral
GACGCCUCAAGAAGCCAACGGUUUGGAACAAAAGCCGCUCGGCGCGUUAAAGCCUCUGUUCGCCACAGGAGGAGCACACAUGGCAACCGGUACGGUAAAGUGGUUCAACGAGACGAAGGGCUAUGGCUUCAUCCAGCCCGACAACGGCGGCAAGGACGUGUUCGUGCACAUCUCGGCGGUCGAGCGCGCCGGCCUGCGCGAUCUCGCUGAAGGGCAGAAGGUGACCUACGAGGUCGAGAUCGACCGGAAGAGCGGCAAAGAGUCGGCCGGACAGCUCCAGGUUGCCUGAUCGUCGGGCGCCUUAGGGUCGCCAAUAAGGAAAGCGGUGGGCUGGCUUAGCGUCAGCCUACCGGCC